AGAGUUUGAUCCUGGCUCAGGAUGAACGCUGGCGGUCUGCUUAACACAUGCAAGUCGAACGGAGUACCUCGGUACUUAGUGGCGGACGGGUGAGUAACGCGUGAGAAUCUGCCUUCUGGUCGGGGACAACCAUUGGAAACGAUGGCUAAUACCGGAUAAGCCCACGGGUAAAAGAUUAAUUGCCAGAAGAAGAGCUCGCGUCUGAUUAGCUAGUUGGUGAGGUAAAAGCUCACCAAGGCAUCGAUCAGUAGCUGGUCUGAGAGGAUGACCAGCCACACUGGGACUGAGACACGGCCCAGACUCCUACGGGAGGCAGCAGUGGGGAAUUUUCCGCAAUGGGCGAAAGCCUGACGGAGCAAGACCGCGUGAGGGAGGAAGGCUCUUGGGUUGUAAACCUCUUUUCUUGGGGAAUAAAAAAAUGAAGGUACCCAAGGAAUCAGCAUCGGCUAACUCCGUGCCAGCAGCCGCGGUAAUACGGAGGAUGCAAGCGUUAUCUGGAAUUAUUGGGCGUAAAGCGUCCGCAGGUGGCACUUCAAGUCUGCUGUCAAAGACCGGGGCUUAACCCUGGAAAGGCAGUGGAAACUGAAGCGCUAGAGUGUCGUAGGGGUAGAGGGAAUUCCUGGUGUAGCGGUGAAAUGCGUAGAGAUCAGGAGGAACAUCGGUGGCGAAAGCGCUCUACUGGACGACAACUGACACUCAGGGACGAAAGCUAGGGGAGCGAAUGGGAUUAGAUACCCCAGUAGUCCUAGCCGUAAACGAUGGAUACUAGGUGUGGCUUGUAUCGACCCGAGCCGUGCCGAAGC
Molecule: ribosomal RNA, 803 nt
Filed under: uncultured Antarctic cyanobacterium
Lineage: Bacteria; Bacillati; Cyanobacteriota
Description: bacterial SSU rRNA
Rfam family: Bacterial small subunit ribosomal RNA
Source: RNAcentral